UACGUAGGUGGCAAGCGUUGUCCGGAUUUACUGGGCGUAAAGGGCGCGUAGGCGGUCGUGACAAGUCACUUGUGAAAUCUCCGGGCUUAACUCGGAACGGUCAAGUGAUACUGACGGACUAGAGUACAGAAGGGGCAACUGGAAUUCUCGGUGUAGCGGUGAAAUGCGUAGAUAUCGAGAGGAACACCUGCGGCGAAGGCGGGUUGCUGGGCUGAUACUGACGCUGAGGCGCGAAAGCCAGGGGAGCGAACGGG
RNAcentral lists this ribosomal RNA (254 nucleotides) under uncultured bacterium. Its description in RNAcentral is "partial 16S ribosomal RNA". It matches the Rfam family "Bacterial small subunit ribosomal RNA", at positions 524 to 776 of the family's 1533-position model. The record is from RNAcentral.